Molecule: ribosomal RNA, 465 nt
Filed under: uncultured Klebsiella sp.
Lineage: Bacteria; Pseudomonadati; Pseudomonadota; Gammaproteobacteria; Enterobacterales; Enterobacteriaceae
Description: bacterial SSU rRNA
Rfam family: Bacterial small subunit ribosomal RNA
Source: RNAcentral
CCUACGGGGUGCUGCAGUGGGGAAUAUUGCACAAUGGGCGCAAGCCUGAUGCAGCCAUGCCGCGUGUGUGAAGAAGGCCUUCGGGUUGUAAAGCACUUUCAGCGGGGAGGAAGGCGUUAAGGUUAAUAACCUUGUCGAUUGACGUUACCCGCAGAAGAAGCACCGGCUAACUCCGUGCCAGCAGCCGCGGUAAUACGGAGGGUGCAAGCGUUAAUCGGAAUUACUGGGCGUAAAGCGCACGCAGGCGGUCUGUCAAGUCGGAUGCGAAAUCCCCGGGCUCAACCUGGGAACUGCAUUCGAAACUGGCAGGCUAGAGUCUUGUAGAGGGGGGUAGAAUUCCAGGUGUAGCGGUGAAAUGCGUAGAGAUCUGGAGGAAUACCGGUGGCGAAGGCGGCCCCCUGGACAAAGACUGACGCUCAGGUGCGAAAGCGUGGGGAGCAAACAGGAUUAGAUACCCCUGUAGUC